CCGUCGUCUAAGGUCCCGAAGCGUGUGCUAAGUGGGAAAGGAUGUGGAGUCGCAUAGACAGCCAGGAGGUUGGCUCAGAAGCAGCCAUCCUUGAAAGAGUGCGUAACAGCUCACUGGUCUAGUGGUUCCGCGCCGACAAUGUAGCGGGGCUCAAGCACACCACCGAAGACGCGGCAGCAAUCUUCAUGGUUGCUGGGUAGGAGAGCGUCCUGCGAGGGGCGAAGCGGCCGGGUAACCGUGCCGUGGACUUCGUGGGAGUGAGAAUGCAGACAUGAGUAGCGAGAGACGGGUGAGGAUCCCGUCCGCUGGAUGACCAAGGGUUCCGGGGCCACGUUCGUCGUCCCCGGGUGAGUCGGGUCCUAAGGCGAGGCCGACAGGCGUAGUCGAAUGGAUGAACGGGUGGAUAUUCCCGUACCGACCAUGGACCGGCAAAACCGAGACGGUGAGUACUAACCUCCGCCUCGUGGUGGUUCCUUCCUUCGGGUUGGUCCCGCCGCGUGGUGUUGGGAGCGUAGCCGUAGUAGGUCAGCGCAGGGGUGACACGGAAUGGGAGCCGGCCGCGGAGGUGGUUUUCCGUGGUCAAGCACGCAGCCAGUCAUGUAGGCAAAUCCGCAUGGCGCGCAUGGCGAGGUGUGAUGAUGGGAGCCGUUAUGGCUCGAUAUCCGGUUGUCCAGGCCGUCGAGAAAAGCCUCGGCGUGAGGGCCAUGGCCGCCCGUACCCCAAACCGACACUGGUGGUCAGGUAGAGAAUACCAAGGCGAUCGAGCGAAUCCUGGUCAAGGAACUCGGCAAAUCACUCCCGUGCCUUCGGUAUAAGGGAGACCCGCUGGGGUGAACCGGCUAGCCCGGGGAGCUUUGGUGGGUGGCACAGACCAGGGGGUAGCGACUGUUUACCAAAAACACAGGUGCAUGCGAAGGCGAAAGCCGCUGUAUAUGCACUGACGCCUGCCCGGUGCCGGAAGGUUAAGAGGAUCCGUCAGCCUUCGGGUGAAGCGGUGAAUUCAAGCCCCGGUAAACGGCGGUGGUAACUAUAACCAUCCUAAGGUAGCGAAAUUCCUUGUCGGGUAAGUUCCGACCUGCACGAAUGGCGUAACGACUUCCCCACUGUCUCGACCAGGAGCUCGGCGAAAUUGCAGUACGAGUAAAGAUGCUCGUUAAGCGCAGAAGGACGAAAAGACCCCGGGACCUUUACUAUACCUUGGUAUUGGCGUUAGGCGCGGAUUGUGUAGCAUAGGCGGGAGGCUUCGAAGCGGGUGCGCCAGCAUUCGUGGAGCCGCAAGGUGAAAUACCGCUCUGUUCGCAUUGGAUGUCUAACCUCGAACAGUCAUCCUGUUCAGGGACAGUGCCUGGCGGGUAGUUCAACUGGGGCGGUUGCCUCCCAAAGAGUAACGGAGGCGCUCAAAGGUCCGCUCAGCCCGGUUGGCAAUCGGGUGUCGAGUGUAAUCGCACAAGCGGGCUUGACUGCGAGGACGACGGUCCGAGCAGGGACGAAAGUCGGAGAUAGUGAUCCGGUGCCGGCGCACGGGCGCGGCAUCGCUCAACGGAUAAAAGGUACUCCGGGGAUAACAGGCUGAU
RNAcentral lists this ribosomal RNA (1574 nucleotides) under human gut metagenome. RNAcentral's name for it is "bacterial LSU rRNA". It matches the Rfam family "Bacterial large subunit ribosomal RNA", at positions 1032 to 2486 of the family's 2925-position model. The record is from RNAcentral.